AGUCGUAACAAGGUAUCCGUAGGUGAACCUGCGGAUGGAUCAUUAACAAAGGUGAUUUUGAAGUUGUGUGAACAGUUGGAGGUGGUGGUGGUGGUGGUGGUAUUGGGUGGUACUGGGUGGUACUGGGUGGUACUGGGUGGUAUUGGGUGGUAUUGGGUGGUAUUGAGUGGUGUAACCUUGGUCUAACCUUGGUCAACCUCACUCAACCUCACUUAACCUCACUCUCCCAACCUCACUCUCCCAACCUCCACCACUCCGUCCCUAUAAUGUAUACAAACUGAUGUCUGCUAGUUUCAAACUAAAACAACUUUUAGCAACGGAUCUCUUGGCUCUC
This 334-nucleotide unclassified non-coding RNA is filed under the name fungal sp. RNAcentral's name for it is "partial internal transcribed spacer region". The stretch from base 1 to 45 matches the Rfam family "Eukaryotic small subunit ribosomal RNA", at positions 1787 to 1831 of the family's 1831-position model. The record is from RNAcentral. Lineage: Eukaryota; Fungi.